AUACCUUUGGUGUUGCCGGCCUUCUUAUCCGCUAAGUAUUUGGGGCAGUUCCGCUUCCAGUGACCCUUCCCCUUGCAAUAAAAGCACUCAGUUUCAGGCUUGGGUCCAUUCUUUGACUUCUUCACGGCAACUGGCUUACCGGGCGCGACAACAUCUUUGCCGUCCUUCUUGAAGUUCUUCUUACCCUUGCCCUUCUUGAACUUAGUUGUCUUAUUGACCAUCAACACUUGAUGUUCUUUCUUGAUUUCAACCUCUGCUGAUUUCAGCAUCGAGAAUACUUCAGGAAUGGUCUUCACCAUCCCCUGCAUAUUGUAGUUCAUCACAAAGCUCUUGUAGCUUGGUGGGAGCGACUGAAGGAUUCUGUCAAUGACCGCCUCAUCCGGGAGGUUAAUGUCCAGCUGGGACAGGCGGUUGUGCAACCCAUACAUUUUGAGUAUGUGCUCACUAACAGAACUAUUUUCCUCCAUCUUACAACUAUAGAACUUGUCGGAGACUUCAUAUCUCUCGACACGGGCAUGAGCUUGGAAAACUAGUUUCAGCUCCUCGAACAUCUCAUAUGCUCUGUGUUGCUCAAAAUGCUUUUGGAGCCCCGGUUCUAAGCUGUAAAGCAUGCCGCACUGAACGAGGGAGUAAUCAUCAGCAUGAGACUGCCAAGCAUUCAUAAUGUCUUGGUUCUCUGGGACGGGAGCGUCACCUAGCGGUCCUUCUAGGACAUAUUGUUUCCUGGCAGCUAUGAGGAUGAUCCUCAGGUUCCGGACCCAGUCCGUAUAGUUGCUGCCAUCAUCUUUCAGCUUGGUUUUCUCUAGGAACGCGUUGAAGUUCAUGUUGACAUGAGCGUUGGCCAUUUGAUCUACAAGACAUAUUAUGCAAAAAGUUUUAGACUAAGUUCAUGAUAAUUAAGUUCAUCUAAUCAAAUUAUUUUAAUGAACUCCCACUCAGAUUAGACAUCCCUCUAGUCAUCUAAGUGUUACACGAUCCGAGUCAACUAGGCCGUGUCCGAUCAUCACGUGAGACGGACUAGUCAUCGUCGGUGAACAUUCUCAUGUUGAUCGUAUCUUCCAUACGACUCGUGUUCGACCUUUCGGUCUCCAUGUUCCGAGGCCAUGUCUGUACAUGCUAGGCUCGUCAAGUUAACCCUAAGUGUUUUGCAUGUGUAAAACUGUCUUACACCCGUUGUAUGUGAACGUAAGGAUCUAUCACACCCGAUCAUCACGUGGUGCUUCGAAACGACGAACUUUAGCAACGGUGCCCAGUUAGGGGAGAACACUUUUUGAAAUUUUUGUAAGGGAUCAACUUAUUUACUACUGUCGUUCUCAGUAAACAAGAUGCAUAAACAUAAUAAACAUCACAUGCAAUUAUAUAAUAGUGACAUGAUAUGGCCAAUAUCAUAUAGCUCCUUCGAUCUCCAUCUUCGGGGCUCCAUGAUCAUCUUCGUCACCGGCAUGACACCAUGAUCUCCAUCAUCAUGAUCUCCAUCAUCGUUUCUUCAUGAAGUUGUCACGCCAACGACUACUUCUACUUCUAUGGCUAACGCGUUUAGCAAUAAAGUAAAGUAAUUUACAUGGCGUUCUUCAAUGACACGCAGGUCAUACAAAAUAAAGACAACUCCUAUGGCUCCUACCGGUUGUCACACUCAUCGACAUACAAGUCGUGAUUCCUAUUACAAGAACAUGAUCUCAUACAUCACAAUAUAUCAUUCAUCAUUCAUCACAACUUCUGGCCAUAUCACAUCACAUGACAAUUGCUGCAAAAACAAGUUAGACGUCCUCUAAUUGUUGUUGCAUCUUUUACGUGGCUGCAAUUGGGUUCUAGCAAGAACGUUUUCUUACCUACGAAUAACCACAAUGUGAUUUUGUCAACUUCUAUUUACCCUUCAUAAGGACCCUUUUCAUCGAAUCCGCUCCAACUAAAGUGGGAGAGACAGACACCCGCCAGCCACCUUAUGCAACUAGUGCAUGUCAGUCGGUGGAACCGGUCUCACGUAAGCGUACGUGUAAGGUUGGUCCGGGCCGCUUCAUCCCACAAUACCGCUGAAGCAAGAUUAGACUAGUAGCGGCAAGAAAGUUGACAAGAUCUACGCCCACAACAAAAUUGUGUUCUACUCGUGCAAUAGAGAACUACGCAUAGACCUAGCUCAUGAUGCCACUGUUGGGGAACGUUGCAGAAAAUUAAAAAUUUUCCUACGGUUUCACCAAGAUCCAUCUAUGAGUUCAUCUAAGCAACGAGUCAAGGGAGUGAGUUUGCAUCUACAUACCACUUGUAGAUCGAGUGCGGAAGCGUUCAAGGGGAUGGUGAUGAUGGAGUCGUACUCGCCGUGAUUCAGAUCACCGAUGACCAAGUGCUGAACGGACAGCACCUCCGCGUUCAACACACGUACGGUAUGAACGACGUCCCCUCCGUCUUGAUCCAGCAAGGAGGAAGGAGAGGUUAAGGAAGACAGCUCCAACGGCAGCACGACGGCGUGGUGUUGUUGGUGCAGCAGUACUCCGACAGGGCUUCGCCAAGCACGUACGGAGGAGGAGAGGUGUUGGGGAGGGGAGGGGCUGCGCCUUGGCUUGGGUUUUCAGCCCUCCCCUCACCCCUCUAUUUAUAGGGGAAGGGGCAAGGGGGGCCGGCCCCUCUAGAUGGGAUCUAGAGGGGGGCGGCAGCCAGGGAGGGGAACUUGCCCCCCAAGCAAGGGGGGCGCCCCCUCUAGGGUUCCCCCCCCCCACCCUAGGCGCAUGGGACCAAGGGGGGGCGCCCAGCCCUCUAGGGGCUGGCUCCUGCCCCACGCAGCCCAUGUGGCCCCCCGGGAGGGGUGGCCCCUCCCGGUGGACCCCCGGAACCCUUUCGGUGGCCCCGGUACAAUACCGAUAUGCCCCCGAAACCUUCUGAUGUUCAUAUGACAGCUUCCCAUAUAUAAAUCUUUACUUCCGGACCAUUCCGAAACUCCUCGUGACGUCCGGGAUCUCAUCCGGGACUCCGGACAACAUUCGGUAAUCACAUACAAGUCUUCCUAAUAACCCUAGCGUCACCGAACCUUAAGUGUGUAGACCCUACGGGUUCGGGAGACACGCAGACAUGACCGAGACGGCUCUCAGGUCAAUAACCAACAACGGGAUCUGGAUACGCAUGUUGGCUCCCACAUGCUCCUCGAUGAUGUCAUCAGAUGAACCACGAUGUCGAGGAUUCAAGCAACCCCGUAUACUAUUCCCUUUGUCAAUCGGUACGUUACAAGCCCGAGACUCGAUCGUUGGUAUCCCAAUACCUCGUUCAGUCUCGUUACCGGCAAGUCACUUUACUCGUACCGUAAUGCAUGAUCCCGUGACCAAACACUUGGUCACUUUGAGCUCAUUAUGAUGAUGCAUUACCGAGUGGGCCCAGAGAUACCUCUCCGUCAUACGGAGUGACAAAUCCCAGUCUCGAUCCGUGUCAACCCAACAGACACUUUCGGAGAUACCUGUAGUGCACCUUUAUAGUCACCCAGUUACGUUGUGACGUUUGGUACACCCAAAGCACUCCUACGGUAUCCGGGAGUUACACGAUCUCAUGGUCUAAGGAAGAGAUACUUGACAUUGAAAAAGCUCUAGCAAAACGAACUACACGAUCUUGUGCUAUGCUUAGGAUUGGGUCUUGUCCAUCACAUCAUUCUCCUAAUGAUGUGAUCCCAUUGUCAAUGACAUCUAAUUUCCAUAGUCAGGAAACCAUGACUAUCUGUUGACCAACGAGCUAGUCAACUAGAGGCUCACUAGGGACAUGUUAUGGUCUAUCUAUUCACACGUGUAUUACGAUUUCCGGAUAAUACAAUUAUAGCAUGAAUAAAAGACAAUUAUCAUGAACAAGGAAAUAUAAUAAUAAUGCUUUUAUUAUUGCCUCUAGGGCAUAUUUCCAACAACUAUAUGAUUCAUGUUCGACCUUUCGGUCUCUGUGUUCCGAGGCCAUAUCUGUAUAUGCUAGGCUCGUCAAGUAUGACCUGAGUAUUCCGCGUGUGCAACUGUUUUGCACCCGUUGUAUUUGAACGUAGAGCCUAUCACACCCGAUCAUCACGUGGUGUCUCAGCACGAAGAACUUUCGCAACGGUGCAUACUCAGGGAGAACACUUCUUGAUUAUUAGUGAGAGAUCAUCUUAAAAUGCUACCGUCAAUCAAAGCAAGAUAAGAUGCAUAAAGGAUAAACAUCACAUGCAAUCAAUAUAAGUGAUAUGAUAUGGCCAUCAUCAUCUUGUGCUUGUGAUCUCCAUCUUCGAAGCACCGUCGUGAUCACCAUUGUCACCGGCGCGACACCUUGAUCUCCAUCGUAGCAUCAUUGUCGUUACGCCAUCUAUUGCUUCUACGACUAUCGCUACCGCUUAGAGAUAAAGUAAAGCAAUUACAGGGCGUUUGCAUUUCAUACAAUAAAGUGACAACCAUAUGGCUCCAGCCAGUUGCCGAUAACUUUGGUUACAAAACAUGAUCAUCUCAUACAAUAAAAUAUAGCAUCACGUCUUGACCAUAUCACAUCACAACAUGCCCUGCAAAAACAAGUUAGACGUCCUCUACUUUGUUGUUGCAAAUUUUAUGUGGCUGCUACGGGCUUACCAAGAACCGUUCUUACCUAUGCAUCAAAACCACAACGAUAGUUCGUCAAGUUAAUGCUGUUUUAACCUUCGCAAGGACCGGGCGUAGCCACACUCGAUUCAGCUAAAGUGAGAGAGACAGACACCCGCCAGUCACCUUUAAGCACGAGUGCUCGUAACGGUGAAACCAGUCUCGCGUAAGCGUACACGUAAUGUCGGUCCGGGCCGCUUCAUCUCACAAUACCGCUGAGCCAAAGUAUGACAUGCUGGUAAGCAGUAUGACUUGUAUCGCCCACAACUCACUUGUGUUCUACUCGUGCAUAUGACAUCUACGCAUAAAACCUAGCUCUGAUACCACUGUUGGGGAACGUAGUAAUUUCAAAAAUUUCCUACACACACACAAGAUCAUGGUGAUGCAUACCAACGAGAGGAGGAGUGUAUCUUCAUACCCUUGAAGAUCGCUAAGCGGAAGCGUUUAUCAACGCGGUUGAUGUAGUCGUACGUCUUCACGAUCCGACCGAUCCAAGUACCGAACACACGGCACCUCCGAGUUCUGCACACAUUCAGCUCGAUGACGUCCUCGCCUUCUCGAUCCAGCAAGAUGGGCGAAGUAGUAGAUGAGUUCCGGCAGCACGACGGCGUGGUGAUGGUGUUGGUGAAGAACAAUCUCCGCAGGGCUUCGCCUAAGCACUACGGAAACUAUGACGGAGGAUAAACUAGAGGGGACGGGGUUGCCGGUACACGGCUUGGUGUUUCUUGAUGUGUCUUUGGUGCUAGCCCGGCCCCUCUAUUUAUAUGUUGAGCCUUGGGGUCGAAACUUGGAGUAAAAGCCUCCACAAAGUCGGUUUCACCCGAAAGGCAAGAGUCCUUCUCGGACUCCAGGGCCAGACACCAGGGUUCCCGGCGUCUGGACCCAGACGCCAGGGACCCUGGCGUCUGGCCCCUGGAGUCCACAAAACUUCCUUUUGCGCUUUCCAAAAACCUUGUGGGCUUUCCCUUUGGCCCAAAUAACGUGUUCUCAUUCCCAAACAUUUCGGGAAACAUCCGGAACCCCUUCCGGUGAAUUCCGGAACUCUUCCGGAGAUCAAACACUAUUAUCCCAUAUAUCAAACUUUAUCUUCGGACCAUUCUGGAGUUCCUCGUUAUGUCCAUGAUCUUAUCCGUGACUCUGAACAACAUUCGGUUACCAACAUACAUAACUCAUAUAAUACUAUAUCGUCAACGAAACGUUAAGCGUGCGGACCCUACGGGUUCGAGAACUAUGUAGACAUGACCUAGAACUUGUUUCCGGUCAAUAACCAAUAGCGGGACCUGGAUGCCCAUAUUGGCUCCCACAUAUUCUACGAAGAUCUUUAUCGGUCAAACCGCAUAACAACAUAUGUUGUUCCCUUUGUCAUCGGUAUGUUACUUGCCCGAGAUUUGAUCAUCGGUAUCCAAUACCUAGUUCAACCUUGUUACCGGCAAGUCUCUUUACUCGUUACGUAAUACAUCAUUCUGUAACUAACUCAUUAGCUACAUUGCUUGCAAGGCUUAUAGUGAUGUGCAUUACCGAGAGGGCCCAGAGAUACCUCUCCGACAAUCGAAGUGACAAAACCUAAUCUUGAAAUACGCCAACUCAACAUGUACCUUUGGAGACACCUGUAGUACUCCUUUAUAAUCACCCAGUUACGUUGUGACGUUUGGUAGUACCCAAAGUGUUCCUCCGGUAAACGGGAGUUGCAUAAUUCUCAUAGUUACAGGAACAUGUAUAAGUCAUGAAGAAAGCAAUAGCAAUAUACUAAACGAUCAAGUGCUAGGCUAACGGAAUGGGUCAUGUCAAUCACAUCAUUCUCCUAAUGAUGUGAUCCCAUUAAUCAAAUGACAACACAUGUCUAUGAUUAGGAAACAUAACCAUCUUUGAUUAAUGAGCUAGUCAAGUAGGGGCAUACUAGUGACUAUAUGUUUGUCUAUGUAUUCACACAUGUAUCAUGUUUCCGGUUAAUACAAUUCUAGCAUGAAUAAUAAACAUUUAUCAUGAUAUGAGGAAAUAAAUAAUAACUUUAUUAUUGCCUCUAGGGCAUAUUUCCUUCAGUUGCGAGGGUCUAGUGUUCAACGAGCUCCGCCCCUGCGUUCGUUGGUGAGCACAAAUGACAUCUCCUCCUCCCCCCUUCAUUUGCUCUAUUCUGGUCUUCGUGCCGAUGAAACUUGCUAGCUAUAGGUGUCAAUCAUCAGUAUGCGUAACCACUAUGUGUCUCCCGUUCGAAAGGGUUACAUCUAUAAAUAUGCAUGCAUUUGCAUAUUUUUUAUCGUGAUUCUUUCGAAUUGUCCAACUUAUCCAUGGAUAGCCCGAGUAUGUGUAGAUUGGGUUCGUUUUCCCAUAUGCUCAGCUCCGGAUGUGAUGCAGAAUUUCGUCAGUGCCUCCCUGUUAUUCUCCGGAUACACAUCCUCUCUACUUAUUGCCGAGACGUGUAUUAGGAGAACAGCGGGGAGGUGCUGCCGAAAUUCUGUGUCAGAUCCGGAGCAGAGCAUGGGAAAACGAACCCGAUCUACACAUACUCGGGUGGGAUUAGGACAUAUACUUACCUAUUAGCGUGUAAGUUGCAUGGACGUAAUAAAAAUAACAAACUCCAUUAACUGAUGGAUAUGGUUUGCUUAAUUAUGUAUAUAUUUCUUGUGUGUCCGGUAGGAAGUCAAUAUGAGUGAUCAUGCAUGGAUGUACACCGGUUACACUAGUCAGUAUGUUUGGACCAAGGAAUGGUUAACAAAAACUAAGGGGUUUCUUAGAUCUGCAUUUGCAAAUCUUAGAAAUUUAGCCGGUGCCCCUGUGUCCGGUGCGACAACUAUAAUUAGAGGGACGAGCUUGAAAUGAGUAAACUUAGGCAGAAGUUUGGUUUUACGCCGGGUUACUGCUACCUCUUGAGCACUGCGUUGGAUUUCCUCGAAGAGGAAAGGAUGAUGUAGUAAAGUAGCGUAAGUAUUUCCCUCAGUUUUUGAGAACCAAGGUAUCAAUCCGGUAGGAGAUCACGCACGAGUCCCUCGUACCUACACAAAACGAUAGCUACUCGCAACCAACGCGAUUAGGGGUUGGCAAUCCCUUCAUGGUCACUUACGAGGGUGAGAUCAGAUAGAGAUGAUAAAUAAUAUUUUUGGUAAUAUAGAGAUGCAAAGUGAAAAGUAAAAGGCAAAGUAAAAACAAAGCAAGUAAUAAAGUAAUGGAGAUAGAUAUGAUGAGAAUAGACCUGGGGGCCAUAGGUUUCACUAGUGGCUUCUCUCAAGAGCAUAAGUAUUCUCCGAUGGGUAAACAAAUUACUGUUGAGCAAUUGAUAGAAAAGCAAAUAAUUAUGAGGUUAUCUAGAUAUGAUCAUGUAUAUAGGCAUCACGUCCAAGACAAGUAGAUCGAAACGAUUCUGCAUCUACUACUAUUACUCCACUCAUCGACCGCUAUCUAGCAUGCAUCUAGAGUAUUAAGUUAAAAAUAGAGUAACGCCUUAAGCAAGAUGACAUGAUGUAGAGGGAUAAAUUCAUGCAAUAUGAUAAAAACCCCAUCUUGUUAUCCUCGAUCGCAACAAUACAAUACGUGCCUUGCAACCCUUUCUGUCACUUGGUAAGGACACCACAAGAUUGAACCCAAAGCUAAACACUUCUCCCAUUGCAAGAACUACCAAUCUAGUUGGCCAAACCAAACGGAUAAUUCAAAGAGACUUGCAAAGAUAACUCAAUCAUACAUAAAAGAAUUCAGAGAAGAAUCAAAUAUUGUUCAUAGAUAAGCUGGAUCAUAAACCCACAAUUCAUCGGUCUCAACAAACACACUGCAAAAAGAAGAUUACAUCGAAUAGAUCUCCACAAGAGAGGGGGAGAACAUUGUACUGAGAUCCAAAAAGAGAGAAGAAGCCAUCUAGCUACUAGCUAUGGACCCAAAGGUCUGAAGUAAACUACUCACACUUCAUCGGAGAGGCUAUGGUGUUGAUGUAGAAGCCCUCCAUGGUAGAUUCCCUCUCCGGCGGAGCUCCGGAACAGGCCCCAAGAUGGGAUCUCGUGGAUACGGAAAGUUGCGGCGGUGGAAUUAGGUUUUUGGCUCCGAAUUUGAUUUGACGGGGGUACGUAGGUAUAUAUAGGAGGAAGGAGUACGUCGGUGGAGCAACAGGGGGCCCACAAGGCAGGGGGUGCGCCCAGGGGGGCGCGCCCCCCACCCUCGUGACCUCCACGGCUGUUCCUUGGAGUAGGGUCCAAGUCUCCUGGAUCACGUUCGGUGAGAAAAUCACGUUCUCGAAGGUUUUAUUCCGUUUGGACUCCGUUUGAUAUUUUGUUUCUUCGAAAUACUGAAAUAGGCAAAAAAGCAGCAAUUCUGGGUUGGGCCUCUGGUUAAUAGGUUAGUCCCAAAAAUGGUAUAAAAGUGGAAAAUAAAGCCCAAUAUAGUCCAAAACAGUAGAUAAAGUAGCAUGGAGCAAUAAAAAAUUAUAGAUACGUUGGCGACGUAUCAGGCAUCCCCGAGCUUAAUUCAUGCUCGUCCUCGAGUAGGUAAAUGAUAAAAAAGAAUUUUGAUGCAGAGUGAUACUUUGGCAUAAUUUCAAUGUGAAUCUUCUUAAUUGUGGCAUGAAUAUUCAGAUCCGAAAGAUUCAAGACAAAAGUUCAUAUUAACAUAAAGGUAAUAAUACUUCAAGCAUACAAAUUAAAGCAAUCAUGUCUUCUCAAAAUAGCAUGGUUAAAGAAAGUUAUCCCUACAAAAUCAUAUAGUUUGGCUAAGCUCUAACUUCAUCACACAAAGUAUUUCAUCAUGCACAACCUCGAUGACGAGCCAAGCAAUUGUUUCAUACUUUAGUAAUCUCAAACUUUUUCAACUUUCACGCAAUACAUGAGCAUGAGCCAUGGACAUAGCACUAUAGGUGGAAUAGAAUGGUGGUUGUGGAGAAGACAAAAAGGAGAAGAUAGCCUCACAUCAACUAGGUGUAUCAACGGGCUAUGGAUAUGCCCAUCAAUAGAUAUCGAUGUGAGUGAGUAGGGAUUGCCAUGCAACGGAUGCACUAGAGCUAUAAAUAUGUGAAAGCUCAACAAAAGAAACUAAGUGGGUGUGCAUCCAACUUGCUUGCUCACGAAGACCUAGGGCACUUUUGAGGAAGCCCAUCAUUGGAAUAUACAAGCCAAGUUCUAUAAUGAAAAAUUCCCACUAGUAUAUGAAAGUGACAACAUAUGAGAUUCUCUAUCAUGAAGAUCAUGGUGCUACUUUGAAGCACAAGUGUGGAAAAAGGAUAGUAGCAUUGUCCCUUCUCUCUUUUUCUCUCAUAUUUUUUUUAUUUGGGCCUUUUCUCUCUUUUUUUUGUGGCCACUCUUUUUUUUCGUCCGGAGUCUCAUCCCGACUUAUGGGGGAAUCAUAGUCUCCAUCAUCCUUUCCUCACUGGGACAAUGCUCAAAUAAUGAUGAUCAUCACACUUUUAUUUUACUUACAACUCAACAAUUACAACUCGAUACUUAGAACAAAAUAUGACUCUAUAUGAAUGCCUCCGGCGACGUACCAGGAUAUGCAAUGAAUCAUGAGCGACAUGUAUGAAAAUUAUGAAGGUGGCCUUGCCACAAAUACAAUGUCAACUACAUGUUUCAUGCAAAAAGCAAUAUGACAAAAGCAAUAUGUGUCAUAUGAACGGAACGGUUGAAAGUUGCAUGGAAAUAUAUCUCGGAAUGGCUAUGAAAAUGCCAUGAUAGGUAGGUAUGGUGGAUGUUUUGAGGAAGGUAUAUGGUGGGUGUAUGAUACCGGCGAAAAGUGCGCGGUAUUAGAGAGGCUAGCAAUGGUGGAAGGGUGAGAGUGCGUAUAAUCCAUGGACUCAACAUUAAUCAAAAGAACUCAUGCACUUAUUGCAAAAAUUUAGAAGUCAUCAAAAACCAAAGCACUACACGCAUACUCCUAGGGGGAUAGAUUGGUAGGAAAAGACCAUCGCUCGUCCCCGACUGCCACUCACAAGGAAGACAAUCAAUAAAUAAAAUUGUGCUCUGACUUUAUAACAAAGCGGUUCACCAUACGUGCAUGCUACGGGAAUCACAAACUUCAAUUCAAGCAUUCUUUAAAUUCAUAAUCACCCCAACUAGCAUUUCUUCGAUAUUAUCACUUCCAUAUCUCAAAACAAUUAUCAAGCAUCAAACUUAUCUUAGUAUUCAACGCACUCAAAAGAAAGUUUCACAAAUCUUGAAUACCAAGUAUAUUAUCUUUAAGCAAAUUACCAUGCUAUUAACAACUCUCAAAAUAAUCUAAGUGAAGCAUGAGAGAUCAAUAGUUUCUUUAAAACAAAUCCACCACCGUGCUCUAAAAGAUCUAAGUGAAGCACCAGAGCAAAAAUUAUUACGCUAAAAAAGGUUUAAGUGAAGCACUAUGAGCAAAACUAUCAAGCUCAAAAGAUAUAAGCGAAGCACAUAGAGUAUUCUAGAAAAUUCUAAAUCAUGUAUGGCUCUCUCAAAAGGUGUGUACAGCAAGGAUGAUUGUGGUAAACUAACAAGCAAAGACGCAAAUAAUACAAGACGCUCCAAGCAAAACACAUAACAUGUGGUGAAUAAAAAUAUAGCUCCAAGUAAAUUACCGAUGGAAGUAGACGAAAGAGGGGAUGCCUUCCGGGGCAUCCCCAAGCUUUGACUUUUUGGUGUCCUUGGAUUAUCUUGGGGGUGCCAUGGGCAUCCCCAAGCUUAGGCUCUUGCCACUCUUUGUUCCAUAAUCCAUCAAAAGAAUUCACCCAAAACUUGAAAACUUCACAACACAAAACUCAAUAGAAAUCUCGUGAGCUCCGUUAGUGAAAGAAAACAAAAGACUACUUUCAGGUACUGUAAUGAACUCAUUCUUUAUUUAUAUUGGUGUUAAACCUACUGUAUUCCAACUUCCUUAUGGUUUAUAAACUAAUUUAUUAGCCAUAGAUGCAUUGAAAUAAGCAAACAACACACGAAAAACAGAAUAUGUCAAAAACAGAACAGUCUAUAGCAAUCUGUAUCUAAAGCAAACUUCUGGAACUCUAAAAAUUCUACCAAAAUAGGAAGUACUGGAAAAUUUUUUUAUUGAUCAGCAGCAAAAAUAAUCAAUGCAAAAUCACGUUCCUGUGAUUUAUUAAAUAUUUUCUCAUGAGCGCAAAGUUUCUGUUUUUCAGCAGAAUCAAAUCAACCAUCAUCAUAGCUUAUCCUAUAGGUUCUACUUGGCACAAAAACAAAUUAAAGCAUAAAACCACAUCUAAACAUAAAGUAGAUGGAUUAUUUAUUCCUAAACAGAAGAAAAAACAAAAAACACAAAAUAAAAUUGGGUUGUCUCCCAACAAGCGCUAUCGUUUAACGCCCUUAGCUAGGCAUAAAAGCGAAGAUAGAUCUAGGUUUUGCCAUCUUUGGUAGGCGGUCCAUAAGUGGCUCUCAUGAUAGAUUCAUAUGGUAAUUUUAUUUUCUUUCUAGGGAAGUGUUCCAUACCCUUUCUCAUGGGAAAUUGGAAUCUAAUAUUCCCUUCCUUCAUAUCAAUAAUCGCACCAAUCGUUCUAAGGAAAGGUCUACCAAGAAUAAUAGGACAGGAAGGAUUGCAAUCUAUAUCAAGAACGAUAAAAUCUAUGGGCACAUAAUUCCUAUUUGCAACGAAUAUCAUUAAUUCUUCCCAUAGGCUUUUUAAUAGUGGAAUCCACAAGAUGCAAGUUUAGAGAGCAAUCUUCAAAGUCACGGAAAUCUAGCAAAUCACACAAAGUUUUGGGAAUAGUGGAGACACGAGCACUCAAAUCACACAAGGCAUGAAACUCAUAAUCUUUAAUUUUAACUUUAAUGGUAGGUUCCCACUAAUCAUAGAGUUUUCUAGGGAUAGAAACUUUCAGCUCAAGUUUUUCUUCAUACGAUUGCAUCAAGGCAUCAACAAUGUGUUCGGUAAAGGCCUUAUUUUGACUAUAAGCAUGAGGAGAAUCUAGCACGGAUUGCAACAAGGAAAUACAACCAAUCAAAGAGCAAUUUUCAUAAUUAAUUCCUUGAGAUCGAAAAUAGUGGGUUUAGCAACAUCAAGAUUUUUAUUUCUUUCAAUCCCACUUUCAUCAAUUUCAUCAUCAAGAUCUAGAAACUCCGAAUUCUUAGAACGCCUUCUAGGUAAAGGAAGAUCAUAUUCAGUUUCAUCAAGAUUCAUAUUGCAAACAAAGAUUUAAUAGGGGACACAUCAAUAACUUUUAGAUCUUCAUCUUGAUUUUCAUAGGAAUUCGGUUUAGCGGCCAUCUUAUUAACUAAGGUAGCUUGCAUAUCCGAAAUUUCAGCGGUCAUCUUUUCAAGACAAGCAAUUUGAGCUCUUAUACCAUCGAAUUCUUUAGACAUAUCAUCGAGUUCUUUAUUCAUAUAACUCAUAAAACCUUUUUCUUCCUUCCGCUCGUUUCUAAAGAAAUUAUUAUGCUCGAAUUGCAAAACCAUAAACUUUCUGACAUUACUUUCGAUCUCCUCUAGCCUUUUAAGGUCAAGAUCACCAAAUUUAGGGAGAACCAUUGCGACAAGUAAGUAGACUAACACACGAGCAAACAAAAAGGCAAACGAGCAAAAGGCGAAAGAGAAAGAGAGGAGGAGAUUGGGAAAGAGAGGGCGAAUAAAACAUCAAGGGUGAAGUGGGGGAGAGGAAAACAAGAGGCAAAUAAUGUAAUGCGAGAGAUAGGGAUUGUGAUGGGUACUUGGUAUGGUUAACUUUUGCGCAAACUCCCCGACAACGGUGCCAGAAAUUCUUCUUGCUACCUCUUGAGCACUGCGUUGGAUUUCCCCGAAGAGGAAAGGAUGAUGCAGUAAAGUAGCAUAAGUAUUUCCCUCAGUUUUUGAGAACCAAGGUAUCAACCGAGUAGGAGAUCACGCACGAGUCCCUCGUACCUACACCAAAACGAUAGCUACUCGCAACCAACGCGAUUAGGGGUUGUCAAUCCCUUCACGGUCACUUACGAGGGUGAGAUCUGAUAGAGAUGAUAAAUAAUAUUUUUGGUAUUUUUGAUAUAGAGGUGCAAAGUGAAAAGUAAAAGGCAAAGUCAAAACAAAGCAAGUAAUAAAGUAAUGGAGAUUGAUAUGAUGAGAAUAGACCUGGGGGCCAUAGGUUUCACUAGUGGCUUCUCUCAAGAGCAUAAGUAUUCUACGGUGGGUGAACAAAUUAAUGUUGAGCAAUUGAUAGAAAAGCGAAUAAUUAUGAGGUUAUCUAGAUAUGAUCAUGUAUAUAGGCAUCACGUCCAAGACAAGUAGAUCGAAAUGAUUCUGCAUCUACAACUAUUACUCCACUCAUCAACCGCUAUCCAGCAUGCAUCUAGAGUAUUAAGUUAAAAACAGAGUAACGCCUUAAGCAAGAUGACAUGAUGUAGAGGGAUAAAUUCAUGCAAUAUGAUAAAAAAAACAUAUUGUUAUCCUCGAUGGCAAUAAUACAAUACGUGCCUUGCAACCCUUUCUGUCACUGGGUAAGGACACCGCAAGAUUGAACCCAAAGCUAAACACUUCUCCCAUUGCAAGAACUACCAAUCUAGUUGGCCAAACCAAACGAAUAAUUCGAAGAGACUUGCAAAGAUAACUCAAUCAUACAUAAAAGAAUUCAGAGAAGAAUCAAAUAUUGUUCAUAGAUAAGCUGGAUCAUAAACCCACAAUUCAUCGGUCUCAACAAACACACUGCAAAAAGAAGAUUGCAUUGAAUAGAUCUCCACAAGAGAGAGGGAGAACAUUGUACUGAGAUCCAAAAAGAGAGAAGAAGCCAUCUAGCUACUAGCUAUGGACCCGAAGGUCUGAAGUAAACUACUCACACUUCAUCCGAGAGGCUAUGGUGUUGAUGUAGAAGCCCUCCGUGGUAGAUUCCCUCGCCGGCGGAGCUCCGGAACAGGCCCCAAGAUGGGAUCUCGUGGAUACAGAAAGUUGCGGCGGUGGAAUUAGGUUUUUGGCUCCGAAUUUGAUCUGACGGGGGUAUGUAGGUAUAUAUAGGAGGAAGGAGUAUGUCGGUGGAGAAACAGGUGGCCCACAAGGCAGGGGGGCGCGCCCAGGGGGGUGCCCCCCACCCUCGUGACCUCCACGGCUGUUCCUUGGAGCAAGGUCCAAGUCUCCUGGAUCACGUCCGGUGAGAAAAUCACGUUCCCGAAGGUUUUAUUCCGUUUGGACUCCCUUUGAAAUUAUGUUUCUUCGAAAUACUGAAAUAGGCAAAAAAACAGCAAUUCUGGGCUGGGCCUCCGGUGAAUAGGUUAGUCCAAAAAAUAAUAUAAAAGUGGAAAAUAAAGCCCAAUAUAGUCCAAAAUAGUAGAUAAAGUAGCAUGGAGCAAUCAAAUAUUAUAGAUGCGUUGGAGACGUAUCAGUUACACGGUCUAGACAUUACAUGGUGAGUCUGCCCAACGUGCAAGAGCCGAGGUGGUUCGUUGUCGCACCGCAGACAUGGUGCAAGACUUUGACGAUGCUCGGGACUCGGACAAGGAGAUGGAGGAAUCUGCAAAGGCCUUCACUAAAAUGUUGGAGUCCUCAAAACGUCCUCUCCACGAGCACACUGAGAUUUGUCAGCUGGAUGCCAUCUCACAAAUAAUGGCUUUGAAGGCUCAAUUCAACUUGGGCAGAGAAUGCUACGACGCGAUCAUGACAGUUUUAGGACGAUUUCUACCCAAAGGCCAUGUGCUACCUCCACACAUGUACUAGUCAGACAAAAUCCUCCGUGCUCUUAAGAUGCCCUAUGAGAAGAUACAUGCCUGUGAGAAAGGAUGUGUCUUAUUUAGGCUUCAGUAUGAGGACUUGAACUAUUGUCCCAUUUGCAAUUCUUCCAGGUAUGUUGUGGUAGACAACGGUAUGGAUGAGAAGACGCAGACCAAAAUACCCGUUAAUGUUCUUCGAUGUAUGCCAAACAUACCAAGACUUCAACGUCUUUUCAUGGUCGAAGAGACGGCCAGACAGAUGACAUGGCACAAAACAGGCAAAAGAACCGAACUAGAUGCAGAUGGGAAUGUGAUGAUGGUGCACACAUCGGAUGGUGAAGUGUGGAAGCGCUUCGAUGCAUUACAUAAGGGAAAAACGACAGAUCCAAGGCAUCCUCGAGUCACCAUCAGCACAUAUGGGUUCAGUGUGUUUGGUCAGAUGGCAGCCCCAUACAGUUGUUGGCCCGUGUUUGUCAUUCCACUCAAUCUCCCCCCCCCCCCGGGUAGAUUAUGCAAAGAAAGAACAUUUUCCUGACAUUGAUAAUUCCAGGGCCCAACUAUUCGGGGAAGAAUAUGAAUGUGUACAUGCAGCCGCUUAAGGACGAAUUGCAAGAAGCUUGGGAUAAUGGGUUCAAGACAUAUGACGCCUUUAGCAAAGAGAACUUCAUAAUGCGUCCCAGGGACAUGUACUCGACGCAUGACUUGCCGGCGUAUGCGCUAUUCGUUGGCUGGUGUGUGCAUGGAUGGUUCCCGUGCCCCACAUGUAAGGGAGCUCUUGAGUUUCGUUGGCUGACGGCGGGGCACAAGUAUAGAUGCUUCGACUUGCAUAGACAGUUUCUAGAUCCUCGCCAUAAGUUCAGGAAAGACAAGAAGAACUUCAUGAAAGGUAGAGUUGUCAAACACUCUGCACCACCUGCGUUGACAGGCCAACAGACCCUAGAUCAGUUAAACACUCUCGAGACAGAUCUAGAGCGUCCAGGGUAUUUCAAGGGGUAUAAUAAGGACCACGCAUGGACUCACAAGACAUGCUUCUGGGAUCUGCCUUACUUCGAAGACCUCCUUUUCCCACACAACAUCGACGUGAUGCACACUGAAAAGAAUAUCGCCAAAGCCAUUUUUGGUACAUUGUUCAGCAUAGAGGGGAAAUCAAAGGAUAAUACUAAGGCUAGAGAUGAUCAAGAGGAGCUCUAUGAUAGACCGUUACAAAACAUGCAAGAACUGAAAGGAAAGCGGAACUGGAAGAAGCCAAAGGCAUGGUUCAAUCUUGGAAGGCUAGCUAUGAAGGAAAUUAUUUUGUGGGUGAAAAUGCAGUUGAUGUUCCCCAAUGGGUGUGCAGCAAAUCUAAAGAGGGGAGCGAGUCUUGAUAAAUUGUAAAUAUUUGGUUUAAAAAGUCAUGAUUGGCACAUAUGGAUAGAGCGGAUAAUGCAGGUGAUGUUGCGUGGCUUCAUCCCUGAGGAUGAAUGGCUAGUACUGGUAGAGCUGAGCUAUUUUCUUCUGUGUUCUUUGUGCGGAAGAACUAUUGCCUGACCUCCUAUAAGAAAUGGAACAGUUGGUGCCGGAGUUGAUCUGCAAGUUAGAGAUGAUCUUUCUGACAAGCUUCUUUAAUCCAAUGCAACACUUGAUUUUGCAUCUCCCAACUGAGGCACGAUUGGGGGGGCGUUCAAAAUCGUUGGUGCUACUCAACUAAGAGGAUGCAGAAGACGCUUUGAGCAAAAUGUAAAAAUAAACGUAGAAUAGAAGCAUCGAUGGCUGAGGCAUUCAUCACUGAGGAGGCGUCAAUCUUUGUGACAGCACACUACGAAGCCAAAAAUCGUCAUUUGCAUAAUCUGAAGCCUCGGUACAAUGCUGACGAGCCUACAAAGGGUCAAUCCAACCUCAGCCUAUUCAAAGGGAAUCUCACACCAUCCAUUGAUUGGAAACCAGUAUCGUUGGAUGUUGUAGAAUGGCGGACCAUUUCGCUGUAUCUCUUUAACAACCUAAUAGAAGUGCGGUCGUACAUCGAGUAAGAUCUCAUUACAUUGUUUCGCAACUUCUAAUUUCUUUGAACUGCUCUUAUUCCUGGAUAUUUGAUGCAGUCGAUAUGUCACCAUAUUCUCGUAUGGAGCGGUGAUCCAAAAGGAUUUCGUCGAAGAGUAUGAGCGUCUGGCAAAGCAAGGAGGCGAAUAUCCCGGUUUCAUCUCUUGGUUCAAAAAAAAGGUAAUUUCCAUUAGACCCUUUCAUUUCUUUGGCUAAUUUGUGACUAAUGCAACAAUCCUUUCUUAUUAAACUUGUAGGCUAAUUCAGAGAUUAUGGAUGCCGAAUUGAGACAAGUAGUUAAUGGUUUUGACUAUAAGGUCUAUUCAUUUGACAAUUACGACAUCAAUGGGUAUUGCUUUCGUACCCAUGGCAAAGAGUUAUCUAUGGCCGACCGAAAGUCUACAAAUUUUUGUGUCUCUGCUAUCGGCGAAGGAGGUGUCGAGUAUUAUGGAAGAGUUGAAGCAAUUUAUGAACUUCAAUUCUAUGGUGAUAACCCACCAAACGUCGUACUCUUCAGAUGUUAUUGGUUCCAGCCCAGGGAGACUAGAAGGACUCAUGAACAUAUAGGGCUAGUCGAAAUCAAACAAAGCACCCAUUUGGAUGUUCCCGAUGUCUAUAUUAUGGCUCAACAGGCAACCCAAGUUUUCUAUCUACCGUGGGCCUGUCAAAGUGAUCCAAAUCUCAGUGGUUGGGAUGUCAUUUAUGAAGUGCCGCCACAUGUUAGACCACCUCCCCCAUAUGAAGAGGAUUAUGAACGUCACAUUAACCAAGACACAUAUGACAAAGGAGAAUUCUUCCAAGAAACACGUCUUGCCAAAAAACAUUUCAAGAAAUGCUCUACUCCACCCCAGAACAUUGAAGUAGACAACGAUAGUGAAUCCUACCCUGAGCCGGAACAAGAAGAGUUGGAAGAAGAAGAAUUUACUGCUGCAGAUGGCCUGUCAAUGCUUGAACAAUUAUGUAAAGGUGGCCUUCCACAUGAUGAUGCAUUUAUUAAUGAUGAUGAUGAGCACGUCAUUACCAAUAGUGAUGAUGAUGAUGCAUUUAUUAAUGAUGAUGAUGAGCAUGUCAUUACCGAUAGUGAUUCUUAGGUAUUCAAAAUUUUAUGUUGUACUUUGUAUGAUUUAUAUAGUUGGUAUGUAUAAUUUUCUUACUUUGUAUGAUUGUUUCUUAUACAUAGUGCCAUGGUCUUGAUUUCCGUCCCCAUCAGCCCUCGCCCGCUUUAUGAUUCGUAUGUGGUAAAUUCUCUUUCAUAACUAUUUUUUGCAUUUUGCAUUUAUGACAAUUAUGGCCAUCAAGUUGACAUAGAGAUAUUUUAAUCUAGGAGGUAUGUGAACCGGAAUUUGAAAUCGACCCUCUUGUCGAGAAGUUAAAUUUAGUUGAAAAAUAAAAUGAGUAUUUGAAAGAAAAAAUUAAAAGAAUUGAAGAAGAGAAGAUGACAUUGGAGUUAUAUGUUGCCGAUGUCAUCGAUGAUCACAAGAUGAAGAUGAAUGCAAUGCGCUUCAAUAUGGAUGCAAUGCGCCUGAAGCUUAAGAAGAUUAGAAAAUAUGCCAUUGAUAAUGAGGCUUGGUAUCAUUAUGUCGUUGGAUCAAUUGUUACCUUAGUUGCGAUCUUCAUCAUAUUUGUUGCGAUGAGGGUAAGUUUUCUCUAAUGUUUUUCUUUACAAAUGGAUACUUAGCUUAUUUUCCUUCUAAAUGGCAUAAUUACCUAAGUUAUAUAAAAAAUGAGCUAUACUUAGCUUAUUCAGUUCAUUUAUGACAUACUUAGCAUACUUAGGUCAAAAAUGGCAUGAUAAUCUUUGUUACGUCCAAAUUGAUAUAGACUUAGCUUAUUUUCCUCGAAAAUGACAUAAUAACCUUACUAAGCUCCAAAAUGACCUAUUUACCUAGCUUAGCUCUAAAAUGACCUACACUUAGCAUUUUUACCUACCUUAGCUCUAAGAAGAGGUGAGGAGAAAAAGAAAGAGAAGAAAAAAUCUUCUUCUUCUUCUUCUAACUAGUCUUCUUCUUCUAACUAUGCUUCUUCUUCUUCUUCUACUUCUUCUUCUAACUUUCAUCUUUCCCAAUUUGCAGAUUUGCUUUACAUGAGGAAGGCUUGGAUUCAUGGAGUGUACUAUUCUUCUGGUGCUUCCUUGUUGUUUAUGAAAACUUGUUUGGAUAUGUAUGUCUAUAUGGAUAUGUUGUUGGAAACUUGUUUGUGGUUAUGUAUAUAUGGAUAUGUUGGACUUUGUUGAACUAUGUUGUUGGAUUUUAUCAAAUAUGUUGUUGGACAUGUUGUUGGAUAUGUUGGAUAUGUAUGCAUGUAUAUCUGUGUUUGAAACCAUGUCUAAUUAAUUGGAUUUAAAUAAAAAUAGGGGAUGUGUAGUCUCUUUGUCGUCCGCUAGCCGACGGCAAAGCUCUUUGUCGUCCGCUAGCCGACGGCAAAGAGGACACGUGGCAGUCACAUGUGCAAACUGGCAACACUGGCUGCCUAUUUGGUCAUUUUGCCGUCUGCAAGCGGACGAUAAAGUGACCAAGUAGGCCUGGAAAACAGGGCCAUCUAUGCCGUCUGCUGGCCGACGACAUAGCUGGCCAUGUGGCAGCAGCCCAGUGCUGCCCUAGCUAAGCUCUUUGCCGUCCGUCAGCGGACGGCAAAGAACGUCGUUAACCCCCUAACGGCUCUCACCUCACACCACUGCCGUCCGUCGUCGUUGCCGUCUGCUGGCCUCGGAUGGCUGACGGCACAAUCCUUUGCCGUCCUUUUCUACGAAGCGGAUGACAAAGAAGGCCUUUGCUAGCACGUGUUUAGCCGGACGGUUUGCCGUCCGCUGGCUGACGACAAAGGACUUUGCCAUCCGGGAUCCGUGCCUUUGCCGUUCGCCAUGGCGGACGGCAAAGAAGCUGAUUCCAGUAGUGUCUAGGGGGUGUAGUAACUUUUUGAGAAAAAUACGCCUCAGGUUUCGGUAUAAGUGGAUAUGCAUAAGAUUUGUUAUGAAGUCAUGUGCCAAAUUAAGAACAUGAGAGAGAGAUUAAACACAUAGCUACUGGUACAAAUUCUAACCCCAAGGGUGGACUAGUCCCUCCUCAUCAUGGUGGCUGUUGGGAUGAUGAAGAUGGCCUCCGGUGAUGAUUUCCCCCUCUGAUAGGGUGCCGAAACAGGGUCCAGAUUGGUUUUUUGUGGAUACAAACGCUUAUAGUGGCGGAACUUCUGAUCUAGGUUUAUUUCGGGGGGUUUCUAUAUUUCUAGGAUUUUUUUGGCAUUGGUCUCACGUCCAGAUGGGCUUCAGGGGGCCCACCACCCACCAGGGUGCGCCAGGGGGGCUGGUGCACCCUAGUGUCUUGUGGCCAGCAUGGGGGCCCCCUCUAGUGGUUCUUUGCUCCAUUAUUUCUCUUUUCUUCCAAAAAAUUGUCAAAAAGUUUCGUCCAAUUCCAAGAACUUCUAUUUCUGCACAAAAAACAAAACCAUGGUAAUUCUUCUGAAAACAGCGUCAGUCCGGGUUAGUUCCUUUCAAAUCAUACCAAAGCCAUAUAAAAUUGUUGUAAACAGGCCAUGAAUACUUCAUAAAUUAUAGAUACAUUGGAGACGUAUCAUCACCCCCAAGUUUAAUUCCUACUCGUCCUCGAGUGGGUAAAUGAUAAAAGAAAUAAUUUAUGAAGUGUGAACUCUAGCAUAGUGCAUAAGUUUGAUCAAUGAUAAUUUCAAUCAUUUCUCCUAGCAUCAUAACAGCAACUCUUUCUCAUAAAACUCAUCAUGAUAAAGUAGCAAUUGAAAAUGGAAUUUUUGAUGUACAAUGCUACCUAUCAUAUUUAUCAUAUACUCUUUUCUUUUAUAGCAUGGACAUUUGGUCUUGAAUGAUUCAAAGCAAUAGUCUAUAAUUUGACAAGAAGACAUCAAUACUCAAGCAUACAAACAAGCAACCAUGUCUUUCAAAAUAUCAACGCUAAAGAAAGCUAUCCCUAGCCCAUUAUGCUCAGUCAUUGAUCCAUUCAUGAAACUCACCCGAAUAUUAGCUACACCCAAUGUACAAGUAUGAUCAUAGUGCUCCCUAGUUGGUGCUUUAUAAGAGAAGAUGGAGACUCAAAUAAAAAUAAAAAUUGCAUAAAGUAAAUAGAUAAGCCCUUCGCAGAGGGAAGCAGAGAUUUGUAGAGGUGCCAGAGCUCAAAGCUUAAAUUGAGAGAUAAAAUAUUUUGAGAGGCGUGUUUUUCCCGUCAACGAAAACAGACGAGUAAUUCACAAUACUUUCCAUGCUAGAUACAUCAUAGGCGGUUCCUAAACAUAAAAUAAAGUUUAUUCCUUUUUACACCAUUCUUUCACAAUCCAUGGCUAGCCGUAUCCACGGGUGCCUUCCAUACCAACAAUUUCCAAGGAAUUUAUUAUUUGACAACAUAAAGUAAAUUUCUUUUUCAUUUCGGGACUGGGCAUCCCUAUUACCGCCACACUCUCAUACAGUGACAAGUGAAUAAACACUCAUCUUGAGAAUAACACAUCUAGCAUGGAAAAAUAUUGGCCACCCCCUGCCGUUUCAUGAGCGGUACAGGCACACAAAAAGGAAAUUCAUUUUGAAAAUUAGAGUUGGCACAUACAAAUUUAGUUGGAACGACAUGGAAAUACCGCAUAUAGGUAGGUAUGGUAGACUCAUUUGGCACAACUUGGUUUAAAGAGUUUGGAUGCACAAGUAGUAUUCCCGCUUAGUACAAAUCAAGGCUAGCAAAUAUAUUGAGAAGUAACCAACCAAGAAAGGAAAACGAUCAUUAAACAUAGCUAACACCGAAUAAUGCACCACAAGUAGGAUAUGACUUCAUUGCAUAACUAUUGACUUUCGUGCUUACAUAGGGAAUCACAAACCUUAACACCAAUAUUCCUACUAAAGCACAAUUACUCACCAUCAUGACUCACCUAUUAUUAUCUCCAUAUCGCAAAACUAUUGCAAGGAAUUAAACUUAUAAUAUCCAAUGAUCUACAUGAGAGUUUUUAUUAUAUCCUUCUUGAAUAUCCAUCACUUUGGGAACAAUUUCAUAGCUUGUGCAAAUUUUCAUCACUAUCAUUAACUCUCAAAAUAAUAUAAGUGAAGCCUGAGAGUGUUCGACAAACUACUCCAAAAAUAAAUAAGUGAAGAUCAAAUAGGUAGUUAAGUAAAUAGGUAGCUAUUUGAGGACUCUCUCUUAUUUAAAAAUUUCAGAUCUUAAGUAUUUUAUGAAAAUAGAAAGCAAAACAAAAUAAAAUGACAUUUCAAGAAUAACACAACUCAUGUGAAGAAGCAAACACUUCGGCUCAACCGAGGCUAACCGGUAAUUGUUGAUGAAGAAAGGUGGGAUGCCUACCGGGGCAUCCCCAGGCUUAGAUGCUUGAGACUUGUUGGAAUAUUAUCUUGGGAUGACUUGGGCAUCCCCAAGCUUGAGAUUUUGUGUCUCCUUAAUUCCUUUUAUAUCACAAUUUCCCUAAAUCUUAAAAACUCCAUCCACACAAAACUCGACAAGAACUCGUGAGAUAAGUUAGUAUAAAUCAAUGCAAUAACCUUAUGAUUCUCUACUGUAGCAAAUCACUAAAAUUAUUAUUUAACAUUGCAUACUAAAUGCCUCUGCAUAUUUAAUACUCCUAUCCUCAAAUAGAAUCAUUAAACAAGCAAACAUAUGCAGACAAUGCAAUCAUAACAACAAUCUGUCUAAACAGGACAGUCUGUAAAGGAUGCAAGAAGAUUCAUACUUCUAUAACUCCAAAAAUUUUGAAAAAUUAGCACACUGUAGAAAAUUUACAUAGCUUAUUUUGCAAGAAAAUUCAACAUUUUAUCACAUUCUUACUUUUUUCAAGAAUUCACACACUAGCGUGCAACUUUCUGUUUUCAAACAGCAACAUAUAGACUUGCAAAAUAAGCAUGGCAAAGGCUAUACUUGACAUUUUUAUUGAAGAAAAAUAUGCAAAACAUUAUUAUAAAUAAAAACAAGCAAAUGAUAAUAAAAUAAAAUGAUGCUCCAAGCAAAACACAUAUCAUGUGAUGAAUGAAAAUAUAGCUCCAAGUGAGGUUACCGAUAAUGUUGGAGACGAAAGAGGGGAUGCCUUCCGGGGCAUCCCUAAUCUUAGUUGCUUCGAUCCUUCUUGAAUAUUACCUUGGGGGUGCCUUGGGCAUCCCCAGGCUUAGGGUCUUAUCACUCCUUAUUCUCCCCAUAUUGAUAUCUCACCCAAAACUUGAAAACUUCAAUCACACAAAACUUAAAAGAACUUUGUGAGAUGUCUUAGUAUGAUAAAGAACAAUUCAUUCAAUUUGGUACUGUCAAGGCAAGAUUCAUAAUUGUCCUCACACAAUUCCUAUUGUAACUUAUCAUUUCCACAAUUUAUAUUGAGUAAUAUAAGCCACAUAAACUAGGAAACAAGCAAACUAUGAAUUGAAAACAGAAUCUGUCAAAAACAGAACAUUCUCUAGUAAUCAGAAGAAAGACCAUACUUCUGCAACUCUAAAAAUUCUGAAAAAUUAGGACAUCGUAGAUAAUUUGUAAAUCAAUCAUAUUUAAAAAAUUCAGAUCAAAAGCACGGUCCACUGAAUUUUCAAAAUUCCAGAACUGGGCCCAAAAGUUUCUGUUUUUGCACAGAAUCAAGUCAACUAUCAUCCACACUAUCCCAAAGACUUUAGUUGGCACUUUAUCCAAACAAAAGAUAUAAAACAUGAUUACUACAUUAGAAUAAUCAUGUGAACACACAAAAAUAGUAGGGGUAAAUGUUGGGUUGUCUCCCAACAAGCGCUUUUCUUUAAUGCCUUUUUAGCUAGGCGUGAUAAUUUCCAUGAUGCUCAUACAAAAGUUAAGAAUUGAAACACAAAGAGAGCAUAAUGAAGCAUAUGACUAGCACAUUUAAGUAUAACCCACUUAUUAUGUAUAGGUAUUUUGUGAGCAAACAAUUUAUGGUAACAAGAAUCAACUAGCAUAGGAAGGCAAAACAAGCAAAACUUCAAGAUUUUCAACACAUAGAGAGGAAACUUGAUAUUAUUGCAAUAUGUAAAAGCAUAUGUUCCUCUCCCAUAGUAAUUUUCAGUAGCAUCAUGAAUGAAUUUAACAAUAUAGCUAUCACAUAAAGCAUUCUUUUCAUGAUCCACAUGCAUAAAUUUUGUAUUACUCUCCACAUAAGCAAAUUUAAUCUUGUUCAUAGUAGUGGGAGCAAACUCAACAAAAUAACUAUCAUGUGAUACUUGAUUUUAAUCAAUUUGAGCACUAAAAUCGUGAUGAAAAAUUUCAUGGUUAUCAUUAUUCUUUAUAGCAUACAUGUCAUUAUCAUAAUCAUCACAGAUAGCAACGUUGUUGUCAUAAUCAAUUGAAACCUCUCCCAAUAUAGUGGAUUCAUUAUUAAAUAAAGUCAUGACCUCUCCAAAUCCACUUUCAUAAUUAUUAGAACAAGAACCUCAAAGAGUGCCCCAAGAUUUCUACCGGAGAAACAAAGACGAGAACGUGCAUCAACUCCUAUGCAUAUAUUACCCCAAUGUCACCUCGGUAAUCCGCGAGUUGAGUGCCAAAACACACAUCAACUCAAUCAAUAUGAUACCCCGUUGUCACCAUGGGGAUUCAUAUCAAGACAUACAUCAAGUGCUCUCAAAUCCAUAAAAGUAUUAAAUCCGUUAAUAACAAAAUCUGAAAGGGAAAACUCAAUUCAUCACAACAAGAUAGAGAGGGGGAAACACCAUAUGAUCCAACUAUAUUAACAAAGCACAUGAUACAUCAAGAUCGUGCCAAAUCAAGAACACAAGAGAGAGAGAGAGAGAGAGAUUAAACACAUAGCUAUUGGUACAAACCCUUAGCCCUGAGGAUGGACAACUCCCUCCUCAUCAUGGUGGCCGCCGGGAUGAUGAAGAUGGCCUCCGGUGAUGAUUUCCCCCUCCGACAGGGUGCUAAAAUAGGGUCCAGAUUGGUUUUUCAUGGAUACAGAGGCUUUAGGUGGUGGAACUUCUGAUCUAGGUUUAUUUCUGGGGGUUUAUGUAUUUAUAGGAUUUUUUGGCGUCGGUCUCAUGUCCAGAUGGGCUUGAGGGGGCCCACCACCCACCAGGGCGUGCUAGGGGGGCUGGCGCACCUAAGUGUGUUGUGAGCAGCAGGGGGGCCCUCUAGUGGUUCUUUGCUCCAUUAUUUCUCUUUUCUUCCAAAAAAAUCGUCAAAAAGUUUCGUCCAAUUCUGAGAACUUUUAUUUUUGCACAAAAAAGAACACCACGGCAAUUCUACUGAAAACAAUGUUAGUCCAGGUUAGUUCCAUUCAAAUCAUACCAAAACCAUAUAAAUUUUUUGUAAGCAUGGCAUGGAUACUUCAUAAAUUAAAGAUACAUUGGAGACGUAUCAGAUUGCUCUGUAUUUGUAUAAGAGAACCACUUUCUCAAGUUAGGCCCCAUAUUGCCAAGUUAAUGUUUUUAUGCACUUCUGUUCAAGUUUUUGCUUAGCUUGGGAACAAUCUUGUGAUCCUCUGAAAGACAUUGCCACAGUCUCUACCCCUAAAAAAUGAUGAUGAUGGUUGAAUAAAAAGUUUGACACUUGUUAGAAUUGUUCUAGAAGAAAGAGUUAUCGAGUUGCAUAACCCCAUGGUGUUUUAUAUAAUAGACUCAAUUGCCCUUGUGAAUAAAUAUUUCUAGAGGAACUUGGUUGAAAGGUGAAUGAGAUUAUGCAAAAAUCUAUGUUGCAUUACAUGGCGCUUCAACUUCUCGCUGGUGCUAUGGCCUUGCUACUCUAUGCACGUAUAUGUGUGUAAAUGUGGCUUCGUCACCUCUCUUGAUGUUAUGCUAAGAACUUCGAUGUCCUAUGAAUGAUCCACCAGAAUUUCGGCUAUGAGUCUGUUAACGUUCACAAUGGCAACACUGCAACGAAUAUUAUUUGACUUUCUCUUGAGUGAGUGUGUAUGUGCUAAUAUGGGUACUGAUCCCAAGAGCUCGAAAGAGACAAUAUAUUGGUCCAUAGUACUCAAACUUAAGCCAUUGUGAAACCGAAGUAUGAUCAUUUCUUUGGUAUCAUCCCGUCACCUAACAAUAAAAGUUUCAGCAAACAAUGAUUGAAGUAAGUGCCUGACAACCUUGCGUUGAGAAUGUUAGUGGGCAUGAAUGAAAAACUCCAUAUCUCGACUUUUUGACAACUCUCUUUGCUCAAGUUCUUUUUUUUGAGAAAACAACAAAAAUAAAUGAAUAAGGUAAUAAGUAAGAGGAUCCAAGUAUUUGUUUUCAUGCUAGAUUAAACUUUGACAAGGAGCAUAGAAAUUUUUACUAAGGCUCUAGUGGUUUGGUGAUCAAAAUAAAUAUUAUCUAGCUGAGCAUGUGCUACCUUGUAAAAAUAUGCUCUAUCUUGCUUAUAGCUUGCAGACAAGUAAAGGAUACGCCUUUGGGGCAACAAUGUUAUUGAUGAGCUAGAUGGAACUUUUGUUUAUCAAGCUUUUUGCUCGAGGACGAGUUGCUUGAAGCUUGGGGAUGUUGAUGAGUGGAUUGUAGGCAUGCUUUUUAGACUAUAUUUUAGUGCCAAAAUCCCUCAUACCAAAUCCAUCUAGCACUUAUUCAUGUCUUCAAUGCAUAGUUUUUGGUAUUUAAUUGUUUAACCAAGUGCAUUGCACACUUUUUAUUUUUAUUUAGUUUUCCUUUGUUUUGUGGCCUUUGUAGGUGUGUUGACGAGUUCAUUGACUUGGGACAUCAAAAGAAUCAAGCUAGGGGUCAAACCCGAGAAGUUCCAGGAACUAGAUCAAGGCCCUUUGGAGAGUUUGAUGAUUUGAUAUUUAUCAAAGUGUCCAAAAUGAAGAUCCAAGGCCACAAACACAUCGGGCUUUUCGCAAGCAAUCCAAUGAGCCCAAGAACAUCAAAAUCGGAGUUCGUAUGAAGAAUGAUGACCAAAAUACGAAGCGGCUCCCGAAGUCUAGAGUGAAAGACGGCCUUUCAAAUGACCAGAGCCGUCCUUUUGAGCGGUCGUUUGAGCUCCAGACAACCAUGGAAAUUGGCCAGAACUUUCAAUUUUGCUCCAAUUUCGUUACCAUUUUUCCUUAUGAGAUCCUUGAUGACCAAGGCUUGUUUGCAACGUGGUUUGGCUCCCCUUGAGCCCUUGGAUGAAAGGGAGGAGGCUAGAUCAACGGAGGAGAACCGGGGUAGACUCCUAUAUGAAGACUUCCAACACUAGCCGCCGAAUCAUCUCAUCUUCAUCAUCUACAAAUCUCAUCUACAGCCACCAUAUCUCCAUUGCAGCACCUCCACCAUAGAGAGAAGGGCCGGCCCAAGGAAGAAGGAAGGGAGGAGGCGCCUCCACGCCGGCGCUGGCUGGAGGGACGGUGCCCUCGUCAUCACCGCCAACAUGCCUCUCCCCAUCUCCAUCUCCAACUUUGUGUUGGCUUGUAACUCAUCACUAAUCUCUAUGUACUCCAUCCUCAUGUUCGAGUAAUUUAUUAGUUCUUAGGCGAAUAACAUGAACUCUAGUAUGUGCUAGUACCGAUUGUCUUGUGCGAUAUGAUAUCCUCUUUGCAUGUUUAUGUUAGUAGUCUUCUGGAAGUUGAGUGAAGUCAACCAUCCAAUGUAUGCCAAUUUUGGAUGGAAGGUUAUUACUGUUGGCGAACUGUGUGGUUGGUGAGGUGGGUGACUAGCCCCAUCUCCCUUCAUAGCGGAAUGUUGCAUUAGGGGGUAAAAUGGAGACCACUUUGGUUGCGUUCACGUGGACCUUUUUCCCUUUAAUCACCGUCUGGUAACCAGAGUGGGGAAGGACAGUGGUGGUGCAUGUGAUAUGGGAUUGUCGUGUGUGUGUGCACAUAUCUGUACUGGCUCCGUCCACAAAGAUAAACACGUAAAAUGGCUUAGUAUUAGUAAAAAUAACAUGUACUGAUGAUUCCGAAUGCCUCGAGAACACCCUUAUUACUCACGCGCCGCUCCUUUUUUCCCGUUGUUUUAUUUAUGUUUUUAUCUCCGCGUAGUUGUUUAGUUAAAACCACCCUAAUUUUCCUUUUCACUAGCAACUGGCGAAUAGAAUAUUUCCAGAUAAUGCUCUGGGUGUGAAUGUAGCCACGUAAGUGACGGCGUAGCUGCGGGGUUGGUAGUUAUCAUUGCAACCACCGCUCCCUAUGGUAUCAACAUACUCUACUUGCCACGAAUUGCUAUAGCCCUAUGCCCUUGCAGUUCAUCAACCACCAGACAUUUACAAACUUCUUGGGGCACACCACAAGCAAGGAAGCUUUCGGGGAACCUCUACUGCUUAAGAACCCAAACUCCAAGAGUAACAAGUGUUGAUGAAGAAAUCGAGUGAGGUACGCAAAUAGGUUUGAUGGAAGUGUACAUCGGGUCCUGCUCUUUCUAUCCCCAAGGAAUCAACAAGUUUGUCUCAACGAAUAGAGGGUCUUGUGAAAAAUGGAGCUUGGUAAUGGUGGAGCAGCUAUUAAGACCUUAGAGUUAGGUUGGAGGAGGAAGAAGGUACCUUAUAUUCCCUUCCACAUAAUUUAUCCAUUGUCCACCUAAUGGCCCCAUGCGCAUGGCUAAGUUGGCCCUGUGCGCACGGGAUUGCUCGAGACAAAUCCCCAGACCCUGUGGGCACGGUCAGUGACAUGUGUGCACUGGGUGUCCAGAGAGAUUUCCUUUACCCUCGCGGGCACGGGUUGCCAUGGUCUCAUGCACACGAAGUGUCUAGAGACUUUACUACGGACCCCGUGGGCACAGGGUAAGAUGACCAAAAGUACACUUGGUGGGAGAUAUCAAGGUAAUCUUUGUUGUUAGGUAUAGGAUGGCUAGUAUAUGAAUUUAGCACAUUCCCACACUUUCAGUCAAGUACCUCGACGCUUAGUACUGCAGGUGUCCUAGGACUUAAAUAAAGAGAAACCAAAGCUUAGCGUCCUCGAGAAACCAUACGUUUAUCCUUUAUGAGGUGGGGGUGAUAACCCACAAGUAUAGGGGAUCGCAAUAGUUUUCGAGGGUAGAGUAUUCAACCCAAAUUUAUUGAUUCGACACAAGGGGAGCCAAACAAUAUUCUCAAGUAUUAGCAGCUGAGUUGUCAAUUCAACCACACCUGGAAGACUUAAUAUCUGCAGCAAAGUAGUAUGGAAGUAACGGUAACGGUGGCAAAAGUAACAGUAGCAGUUUUGUAGCAAUCGUAACAGUGGCAACGGAAAAGUAACUAAGCAAAGAUCAAUAUAUGAAAAGCUCGUAGGCAAUGGAUCAAUGAUGGAUAAUUAUGUCGAAUGGCAUUCAUCAUGCAACAGUUAUAACAUAGGGUGGCACAGAGCUGGCUCUAAUUCAUCAAUAUAAUGUAGGCAUGUAUUCCGAAUAUAGUCAUACGUGCUUAUGGAAAAGAACUUGCAUGACAUAUUUUGUCCUACCCUCCCAUGGCAGCGGGUCCUAUUGGAAACUAAGGGAUAUUAAGGCCUCCUUUUAAUAGAGUACCAGACCAAAGCAUUAGCACUUAGUGAAUAAUGAUCUCCUCAAAAUAUGGUCAUCACCAGGAAGUGUCACGACUAAUGUCACCUUGGGGUUGCCGGAUCAUAACACGUAGUAGGUGACUAUAACUUGCAAGAUAGAUCAAGAACUCACAUAUAUUCAUGAAAACAUAAUAGGUUCAGUUCUGAAAUCAUGGCACUCGGGCCCUAGUGACAAGCAUUAAGCAUAGCAAAGUCAUAGCAACAUCAAUCUUAGAACAUAGUGGAUACUAGGGAUCAAACCCUAACAAAACUAACUCGAUUACAUGGUAAAUCUCAUCCAACCCAUCACCGUCCAGCAAGCCUACGAUGGAAUUACUCACGCACGGCAGUGAGCAUCAUGAAAUUGGUGAUGGAGGAUGGUUGAUGAUGAUGACGGUGAAGAUUUCCCGUCUCCAGAGCCCAAAACGGACUCCAGAUCUGCCAUCCCGAGUAAGAACAGGAGGUGGCGGUGGCGGCUCCAUAUCGUAAAACCUGAUGAAUCCUUCUCUCUGUUUUUUCUCCCCGAACGUGAAUAUAUGGAGUUGGAGUGGAGGUCGGUGGAGGACUGUGGGGCCCACAAGACCAGAUGGCGCGCCCCAGCGAGGUGGGCGCACCCUCCACCCUUGUGGACAGGGUGGUGGGUCCCCUCUGGUUGAUUCUUUCACCAAUUUUUUUAUUUAUUUCAAAAAUAAUCUCCGUGGAGUUUCAGGUCAUUCUGAGAACUUUUAUUUCUGCACAAGAAUAACACCAUGGCAAUUCUGCAGAAAACAACAUCAGUCCGGGUUAGUUCCAUUCAAAUCAUGCAAAUUAGAGUCCAAAACAAGGGCAAAAGAGUUUGGAAAAGUAGAUACAUUGGAGACGUAUCAACUCCCCCAAGCUUAACCCAUUGCUUUUCAUGAAGCAAUUCAGUUGACAAACUGAAAGUGAUAAAUAAUUUUUUUUACAAACUCUAUUCGAUUGUUGUUGCAAAUAUGUAAAGCCAACAUUCAAGUUUUCAACAAAUAUUAUGAACUAACCAUAUUCACAAUAACAUUUAGGUCUCACCUUUACUCAUAUCAAUGGCAUAAUAUAACAAGAUGGUAUCUCGCUAGCCCUUUCUUAGACCGCAAAACAUAAAUGCAGAGCACCCCUGAAGAUCAAGGACUGACUAGACAUUGUAAUUCAGCAAAAGAGAUCCAGUCACAGUCAUACUCAAUAUCAAUUAAUAACAAUGCAUACAAAUGACAGUGGUGCUCUCUAACUGGUGCUUUUUAUAAGAGGAUGAUGACUCAACAUAAAAGUAAAUGGAUAGGCCCUUCGCAGAGGGAAGCAGGGAUUUGUAGAGGUGACACAGCUCGAGUUUUUGAAACAGAGAUAAAUAAUAUUUAUGGAGUGUGCUUUCAUUGUCAACAUAACAACCAAGAGAUCUCGGUAUCUUCCAUGCUACAUACAUUAUAGGCGGUUCCCAAACAGAACAGUAGAGUUUAUACUCCCCCACCACCAACAAGCACAUUCCAUGGUUGGUCCGAAACAAUGGGUACCGUCCAACUAACAACAAUCCUGUGGGAGUUUUUUUUGCAAUUAUUUUGAUUUUAUUUGAUCAUGGGACUGGGCAUCCCGGUUACCAGCCAUUUUCUCGUGAAUGAUGAGUGGAGUCCACUCAUCUUGAGAAUAACCCACCUAGCAUGGAAGAUAUAGACAACCCUAGUUGCUACAUGAGCGAUUUCAGCAUACAAAACAGAAUUUCAUUUGAAGGUUUAGAGUUUGGCACAUGCAAAUUUACUUGGAACGACAGGUAAAUACAACAUAUAGGUAGGUAUGGUGGACUCAUAUGGAAUAACUUUGGGGUUUAUGGAAGUGGAUGUACAAGCAGUAUUCCCGCUUAGUAGAAAUGAAGGCUAGAAAGAGACUGGGAAGCGACCAACUAGAGCGCGACAACAGUCAAAAACAUGCGUUAAGAUUAACCAACAAUGAGUGCAAGCAUGAGUAGGAUAUAAAUCACCAUGAACACAAAUAUCAUGGAGGCUAUGUUGAUUUUGUUUCAACUACACGCGUGAACAUGUGCCAAGUCAAGCCACUCGAAUCAUUCAAAGGAGGAUACCAUCCUAUCAUACUACAUCACAACCAUUUUUAAAAGCAUGUUGGCACACAUGGUAAACCAUUAUAAACUCCUAGCUAAUUAAGCUUGCCAUGAGUAACUAUAAUCUCUAAUUUUCAUUGCAAACAUGUUUCAUUCAUAAUAGGCUGACUCAGGAACGAUGAACUAAUCAUAUUUACAAAAACAAGAUAGGUCGAGUCCAUACAAGUUUUUCCUCAUCUCGAUCAUUUCAUCAUAUAUCGUCAUUAUUGCCUUGCACUUGCACGGCCGAACAGUGUGAAUAAUAUUAAUAGUGCAUGUGCAUUGGACUAAGCUAGAAUCUACAAACAUUUAUUCAAAAGAGAAGACAAGGUAAUGGGCUCUUUGUUAGAUCAACAAUAAUGCAUAUGAGAGCCACUCAUCAUUUUCAUCGUGAUCUUCUCCUCUUGACCCCCAAAGAAAAGAAAAUAAUUUAAAAGAAACACACUGAAAUGUUUUUGGAGUUUUUGUUUUUCUGAAGGAAGUAAAACAAGAAUGAGAAAAACUAUUUACAUGGGAAAGCUCCCAACAAGCAAAAGAAGAACGAGAAAUAUUUUUGGGUUUUCUUUAAUAGUACUACUACAUAAACAUGGAAAGUAAACUAAAGUACAACUAAAUUUUUUGGUUUUUCUCAAAGUUUUUCAAACACAUAAGAAGAAAGCGAGCAAAAGAAAAUAAACUAGCAUGGAUAAUACAAUGAAAAAGUAUGAACACCGACAACUAGAAAUGAGUGUGUGAACAUGAAUGUAAUGUCGGUGAGAAAUACGUACUCCCCCAAGCUUAGGCUUUUGGCCUAAAUUGGUCUAAGGCCACCACUGGCCCGGAUGAUAUCUGAAAUCAUAGUUGGGGUUGUACUGUGCUGCAACAGCUACCGCCUGGCGAGCUGCUUCCUGGAGGCGAGCGGCCUCCACUCUUCUCUCAUACUCAUUUGCCUCCUCUCUAGUUAUAAAAUACCUCCCUUUUGCCUAAAAGUUAAAGAAGGUAGGAGGAGGAAGGAUAAUAUGGAUAGCACGCCGUCUGUCAAAGACUAGUCGGUACUGGAGGGACUGUUCGUUCCUCUAAAGAAAUUGGUAGCGUACCAUAGCAUUAUAAUCCAGAAAAGCAGGUGGCAACUCAAUGUCAUUUCCCCUUAUGGGUACACCAAGAUAAUUAGCUAAACGAGUUGCAUAAAUCCCACCAAAUAAAUCUCCAUCUUUGCAUUAAGAUGUAACCUCCUUGCAAUAAUAGCCCCCAAGUUAUAUCGCUUAUCACCUAACACCGCACACUUGAAGACACUAAGAUCUAGAAUGCAAAGGUGGCUGUGAUCAUGUUUACCAUUAAUGCAUCUACCUAUAAAGAGAGCAAAAUAAUGUAUGGCAGGAAAAUGAAUGCUCCCUAUGGUAGCUUGUGUGAUAUUUCUAGUUUCUCCCACAGUGAUGCUAGCAAGGAAACCGUUAUAUUCAGAUUUCUGAGGCUCACUAUGAAUGCCCCACUGUGGGAUUUUGCAUGCAAUAUUAAAAUCUUCAAGGUCCAUGGUAUAUGAUUCAUCAUAAAGAUCAAACGAAAUAGUAUGGGUAUUGCGCUUAGAUGAAAAUUCAAACCUCCGCACAAAGGAAUCGGUGAGGUAAUAGUAUUGUUGGCACUUAUGUGAUACGAAGUCCUCAAGAUCAGCAUUACGUACAUACGCAUCAAAUUCAUCCUUGAAGCCUCCAAGAACCAUAAAUUCAUCCGACGGUCAUUCACAAGGCCGCACUUGAGCUUCCCUUGGUGGUUAAAGGUCCGACUCACGUAUUGCGAGCCUCCGUGCUUGCUUCCUCGAAGAACUACCUUGGUACAUUUUCCUAGACAUUUUUCUUCCUCUGAAAAUUUCUGAAUUUUUUAGUGACUCAAAAUAAAAGUGAACCAAACUCAACAAAAUUGCUAGCAACUACUCCUACAAGUGUCUAGAAACUAUAUCAUGCAUCAAAACUACUUUGGACCAUAUAAAUUUGACAUGCAAGCUCAAGAACAGGGUCACCACAGCAGCAAAAAUUCGCAAUAAAUAAAGCACUAGAACAAAAACUAAUUGGACCAUUGGAGGAGUCGCAUACCAAAGAACAACCCCCCAAAGCAGUUUCGUAAGUGGAGCUUUGCACAAGGAGAUCGAAAAUAGCAGCAAAACAAGCAAGAACACGGGUUUGAGCUACGUGAUCAUUUUUUCUGGAGGAAGACGAAGUGGGUGGGUGCUGGAAUAAGUGGAGGGACCCAUGUGAGGCCCACAAGAUAGGGGGCGCAUCCAGGGGGCAGGGCGCGCCCUCCACCCUUGUGGCCCACUGGUGAAGCCCCCUGGUGUGUUCUCAGUGCUAGAAAUUCUCAAAUAUUCUAUAAAAAAUCAUACUAAAUUUUCACGGCAUUUGGAGAACUUUUAUUUUCAGGAUAUAUUUUAUUUCACGGAUAAUUCAUAAAACAGAUAGAAAAUAUAUUUCUACUUUAUUUAAUCUAAAUAACAGAAAGUAAAAGGUGGGUACGGAAAGUUGUGCCUUCUAUAUUCAUCCAUCUCAUGCUCAUCAAAAGGAGUCCAUUAACAAGGUUGAUCAAGUCUUAUUAACAAACUUCUUCCGAAUAACAUGAAACCGAAGAAUUUUUUGAAUAAUACUAACUUACCUCAACGGGGAUAUGCAUGUCCCCAACAAUAGGAAUAUCAUAUUUCUUUUUGACAGUAGGAAGAGGGAAUUUAAAACCUCCAAUAGCAAUAGUUGAAUUAUUUCCAAUAGAAUUGAUACUAUGAACUUGAGGUUGUUUCUUUGGAAAGUGUACCGUAUGCUCAUUACCAUUAACAUGAAAAGUGACAUUGCUUUUGUUGCAAUCAAUAACAGCCCCUGCAGUAUUUAAAAAGGGUCUACCAAGGAUGAUCGACAUACUGUCUUCCUCAGGAAUAUCAAGAAUAACAAAGUCCAUUAAGAUAGUAACAUUUGCAACCACAACAUGCACAUCCUCGCAAAUACCAAUUGGUAUAGUGGUUGAUUUAUCAGCCAUUUGCAAAGAGAUUUCAGUAAGUGUCAACUUAUUCAAAUCAAGUCUACGAUAUAAAGAUAAAGGCAUAACACUAACACCGGCUCCUAGAUCACAUAAAGCAGUUUGAACAUAGUUUCUUUUAAUGGAGCAUGGUAUAGUUGGUACCCCUGGAUCUCCUAGUUUCUUUGAUAUUCCACCCUUAAAAGUGUAAUUAGCAAGCAUGGUGGAAAUUUCAUCUUCCGGUAUCUUUCUUUUAUUAGUGAAAAUAUCUUUCAUAUACUUAGCAUAAGGAGGCAUUUUAAGCAUAUCAGUAAAACGCAUAUGCAAAAAAGAUAGGUCUAAUCAUUUCAGCAAAGCGCUCAAAAUCCUUACCAUCCUUUUUCCUUGAUGGCUUAGAGGAAAAGUCAUGGGUUUCUGAACCCAUGGUUCUCUUUCUUUACCGUGCUUCCUAGCAACACAGUCUCUCUUGUCAUAUCGUUGAUUCUUUGAUUGUGGGUUAUCAAUAUCAACAGCAGGUUCAAUCUCUACAUCAUUAUCAUUACUAGGUUGAGCAUCAACAUGCACAUCAUCAUUAAAAUUAUCACUAGGUUCAUGUUCAUCACCAGAUUGUGUCUCAGCAUCAGAAAUAGAAAUAUCAUUGGGAUUCUCAGGUGUGUCAAUAACAGGUUCACUAGAAGCAUGCAACGUCCUAUCGGUGUUCUUUUUAUUUUUAUUACUAGGACUAGGUGCAUCAGUAUUAAUUCUGUGAGAAUCUUUCUCAAUUCUCUUAGGAUGGCCCUCAGGAUACUAAGGUUCUUGAGUCAUUUUACCACCUCUAGAAAUAACCCUAAUAGCAUUAUCUCCGUUCUUAUUAUUUAACUCAUUGAGCAAAUCAUAUUGUGCCUUAAGUACUUGUUCUACUUGAGUUGUAACCAUGGAAGCAUGUUUACUAAUAAGCUUAAGAUCAUUUUUAACUCUAGACAUAUAAUCACUCAAGUGUUCAACCAUAUAAGCAUUACAUUUCAAUUGUCUACUAACAUAAGCAUUGAAAUUUUCUUGUUUAACAAUAAAAUUAUCAAACUCAUCCAAGCACUGACUAGCAGACUUAUUAUGAGGAGUAUCACCUUCAUCAAAUCUAUAGAGAGAAUUUACCUCUACAACCUGUGUCGGGUUAUCAAGACCAUGUAUUUCUUCAAUAGGCAGUAAAUUCUUAACAUCUUCAUCUUUAAUACCUUUUUCUUUCAUAGAUUUCUUUGCUUCUUGCAUAUCUUCAGGACUGACAAAUAGAAUACCUCUUUUCUUUGGAGUUGGCUUAGGAGUUGGUUCAGGAAGUGUCCAAUCAUUAUCAGUACUCAAUAUAUUAUUCAGUAACAAUUCAACUUGCUCUACAGUUUGUUCCCUAAAAACACAACCAAUACAACUAUCUAGGUGGUCUCUGGAAGCAUCGGUUAGUCCAUUAAAAAAGAUAUCAAGUAUUUCAUUUUUCUUGAGAGGAUGAUCAGGCAAAGCUUUAAGUAAUUGGAGAAGCCUCCCCCAAGCUUGUGGGAGAUCCUCUUCUUCAAUUUGCACAAAGUUAAAUAUUUCUUGUAAGGCAGCUUGUUUCUUAUGAGCAGGAAAAUGUUUUGCCGAGAAGUAGUAAAUCAUAUCCUGGGGACUACGCACACAACCAGGAGCAAGAGAAUUAAACCAUAUCUUAGCAUCACCCUUUAAUGAGAAAGGAAACAACUUAAGAAUAUAGCAAUAGCGAAUUUUUCCAUCAUGAGCAAAUAAGGUGGCUAUAUCAUUCAGUUAUGAAGAUGUGCCACAACAGUUUCAGAUUCAUAACCAUGGAAAGGAUCAGAUUCAACCAAAGUAAUUAACUCAGGAUCGACAGAGAUUCAUAAUCCUUAUCAGUAACACGGAUAGGUGAAGUAGAAAACUUAGGGUCAUAUUGCAUUCUAGCAUUCAAAGACUUUUCUUUCAGCUUAGCUAACAGUUUCUUAAGAUCAUCUCCAUUGCAAGCAAGAAAGUCUCUAGCAGUUUCUUCAUCCACAAUAUAACCCUCAGGUACAACAGGCAAUUCAUAUGUAGGGGGAGAAUCAUAAUCUUCGGUUUCAAUAAUAUCAUUAGUUUCAGUAAUUUCAUUCUCUCUAACCCUAGCAAGUUGUUCAUCAAGAAAUUCACCUACUGGCACAGUAUUAUCAAGAAAAGAAGUAGUAUCAUCAUAAGCAUCAUGCAUAGCAGAAGUGGCAUCAUCAAUAAUAUGCGACAUAUCAGAAUCAAUAGCAGGUGUAGGUGUCAUAAGUUUACUCAAAACAGAAGGUGAAUCAACUGGAGAGCAAGAUGGAAGUUUCUUACCUCCCCUCGUAGUUGGGGGAAAAAUCUUGGUUCUUUGAUCUUUCAAAUUUCUCAUAGUGAUCAAUAGAUAUAAAUCCCAAGUGACUCAGAGAAGAGAGCUAUGCUCCCUAACAACGGCGCCAGAAAAAGGUCUUGAUAACCCACAAGUAUAGGGGAUCGCAACAGUUUUCGAGGGUAGAGUAUUCAACCCAAAUUUAUUGAUUCGACAAAAGGGGAGCCAAAGAAUAUUCUCAAAUAUUAGCAGCUGAGUUUUCAAUUCAACCACACCUGGAAGACUUAAUAUCUGCAACAAAGUAGUAUGGAAGUAACGGUAACGUGGCAAAAGUAACAGUAGCAGUUUUGUAGCAAUCGUAACAGUGGCAACGGAAAAGUAAGUAAGCAAAGAUCAAUAUGUGAAAAGCUCGUAGGAAAUGGAUCAAUGAUGGAUAAUUAUGUGGGAUGACAUUCAUCAUGCAACAGUUAUAACAUAGGGUGACACAAAACUAGCUCAAAUUCAUCAAUAAUGUAGGCAUGUAUUCCGAAUAUAGUCAUACGUGCUUAUGGAAAAGAAUUUGAAUGACAUCUUUUGUCCUACCCUCUCGUGGCAGUGGGUCCUACUGGAAACUAAGGGAUAUUAAGGUCUCCUUUUAAUAGAGUACCAGACCAAAGCAUUAGCACUUAGUGAAUACAUGAACUCCUCAAACUACGGUCAUCACCGGGAAGUGUCCCGACUAUUGUCACUCCGGGGUUGUCGGAUCAUAACACGUAGUAGGUGACUAUAACUUGCAAGAUAGGAUCAAGAACUCACAUAUAUUCAUGAAAACAUAAUAGGUUCAGAUCAGAAAUCAUGGCACUUGGGCUCUAGUGGCAAGCAUUAAGCAUAGCAAAGUCAUAGCAACAUCAACCUUAGAACAUAGUAGAUACUAGAGAUCAAACCCUAACAAAACUAACUCGAUUACAUGGUAAAUCUCAUCCAACCCAUCAUCGUCCAGCAAGCCUACGAUGAAAUUACUCACGCACGAUUGUGAGCAUCAUGAAAUUGGUGAUGGAGGAUGGUUGAUGAUGACAAUGGUGAUGAUUUCCCCUCUCCGAAACCCAAAACGGAUUCCAGUUCUGCUCUCCCGGAGAAGAACAGGAGGCGGCGGUGGCUCCGUAUCGUCAAACGCAAUGAAUCCUUCUCUUUAAUUUUUUUCCGGAACAUGAAUAUACGGAGUUGGAGUUGUGGUCGGCGGAGGUCUGUGGGACCCACAAGACCAGAGGGUGCGCCCUCCACCCUUGUGGACAGGGUGUGGGUCCCCUCUGGUUGAUUCUUUCGCUAAUAUUAUUUAUUUAUUUCAAAAAUAAUCUCCGUGAAGUUUCAGUUCAUUCCGAGAAAUUUUAUUUCUGCACAAACACCAUGGCAAUUCUGCUGAAAACAACGUCAGUCCGGGUUAGUUCCAUUCAAAUCAUGCAAAUUAGAGUCCAAAACAAGGGAAAAAGAGUUUGAAAAAAUUGAUACGUUGGAGACGUACCAGGGGUUCAACCAUCUCCUUAAUGAACUCACAUAAACCAAUGGCAUGAGAUCAUAUUUAACAACAAUCAUUAGUAUCACUAACCACAUUGCCAUCACAUCAAAAUACAAUUUAGAGAUAAAUGCACUUUAUCUCCCUCUUUUUGCGGUAUUGAUGACAAUAGGGUUAGAGCAUGGAAGAGAGUAUAAAUGAUGAAUGAAGCCAUGCAACUCUACAGAUAUAAGGACCCCUCCCCCAUGAUGUUUGCAUAUGCCAUGCAAUGCCUUUAUCCUCUAACGAUGAAUGAAGCCAUGAAACUCUACCGCUGGUGUGCGUGGAUUUUUCAUCCUAUUGUCCAUUGCUAGUACCUGCGUCCUCGUCAAUGGCGUCCCUGACCCUCCAAUUUGGCACUACAGAGGGCUUCGUGAGGGUGACCUAUUGGCAUUCAUAUUCUUCGUGUUCAUCAUUAACAUCCUGAACUCGCUCCUUUAACGGUCCAUUUCCUUGGGGAUCCUCCAGUGGCUCACCCCUCGCCACAUGGCCUCUAGUGUCUCUCUCUACGCUGAUAACAUGGCGAUAUUUUGCCACCCGAACCCUCAAAACUUGAGUGCCAUUCAUCAGCUUUUCCAGAUCUUUGGGAUUGCCUCGGGUCUAGCGACGAACCUAUCCAAGAGUUCGACCACCCCCAUCCGUUGCUGCCUCAAUGACAUUGACGCCAUCCGUGAUCUGGUGCCAUGCCCGAGCACCGAGUUCCCCAUCAAGACCUCAUCCUCCUGUCUUGAUGCGUAAGCCGCCCUCGACCGCUCGACAACCGCCGCUAGACUAACUCAAGAAGGAGCUCCCCACUUGGAAGGCAAGCCUCUUGAAAAAGAUUAGGCAUCUACUACUUUUUUGACAUGUGUUUAGUGUCAUCCUAGUGCACACCUUGAUGGCCAUCUCCAUGGAUGCGACUACCCUCAAGCUUGCUUAUCAUAUCUACUGCGGCUUCCUCUGGUUCGGGUGCAAGGAUACCAACGUAGGUUACUGCUUCAUGAAUUAGCAAUGUGUGUACCAGCCGCUCCAUAUCAGAGGGCUCGACAUCCAUGACUUCCGUCGUAUGGGCAUCACACUCCAUGCCCAGUGGUUUUGGCUCUAUAAGACCGACGCAUCCCGCCCAUGGCGCCAUCUUCCACGUGUGAACCUCCUGGCAUGUUGGUAACGGGGAAUCAUGCCUUUUUAGAGGAUCGCGGGCUGUCUGGCUAAUCGGUCAAUAAGAUUGCCCCGCUCUCCUCGAGCUGGUGUUUGUCGCCGGAGAUGCCACAUCGUCGUUGAGGGGCUUCAUCAGCGAGCUUGGACUCGCGACAUCCAUUACGCUCCUGGACUUGUUGCACCUGUCAAACACAUGGAGCUUUGGCAUCGGUUGCAUCAACUUAAGCUCACGACAAAGUCGAAUCACCCUUCUUGGAAUAUUUGUGGCAGCGCUGCCUACACGACACGCUCCUGCUACUAUGCAUUGUUCUUUGGGGCCACUAGCCAUUACUCAUGGUAGCUAAAUUGUCGCACUUGGGAUGUCCUGUGAUCGAAGUUCUUCAUCUCGUUGGCACUACAAGAUCGUUGAUUUAUGGUUGACUGCUUACUUUUUCGUGGCCUCCCGCACGCUCCACGCCGCGUUCUGUGCAACUAGAACCCUGUGACGAUGAACCACCUACUCGUGGACUACCCCUUCACCUGUUAGGUGUGGCCCACGUGCUUGCCUGGUGCAGAUCGAUCUCUCACCGCCCGACGUAACUGUUGGUUUUCUGGAUUGGUGGGCAAUGUCUUACAACGUUUCCCCGUCCGGACAUCGUAAGGUCCUCCCCACCAUGAUCAUACUCUCUGCAUGGUGAAUUUCGAUGCUCGCAAUGCAUGUGUCUUCACCUUUGAGUUAUCGUCUGGCCUUCCUGUGACUCAAACUAUUCGAUCCGCGUCUUCACCUGUUGUCGUCUGCCCCUCGUGUGUCUGCCCCUCGUGUGACGCAGACUACACGUGGCAAGACUAGUUAGUGGGCGCUGACCGAGGCAACGUCCUGGACUACAAUCUUCUUAAUCUUCUCCUAUCAAUAAAAAGAUGCACACAUCUGUUGUGUAUUCGUGGAAAAAGAUCGCACGGGGAGAAUAAUUAUAAGUAUACAUAUUCCUGUUCCAAUGGUACCGAUACCAUGCACAUCUCCCAAACAAGACAAAGGUAUAAAAAAGCAAUGUAAACAAAAAACCCAAUUUCCAAAUCAAUCGCAUAUACACAGCUUAGUUCAAAUCCGUAUACACCAAGAGUACUCUCUGCGUCCCUCCUCGAACACACCGGGGCUCCCGCGUCUCAUCGCCGCCGUCCGUGACUCCUUGUGCACUACUGAUAUCUUCCAUCCAACGGCUAUGAGUAUCUCCUGCCGAUAGAUUCCGGCCGGCGGCUCGCCCGAGCUACCCCGAUCGAUUUCAUCCCAGCGCCAAACCACACGUACAGCCACGGAGCCGGAUUCUCAGAACGGCUUGCCCCAGUACAUGAGGAUGUCCUGGAGGAGCGGGUCGCCGGCGGGGAGCCCGGCCGCCGGGUCGAGCAUCAAGCCGGCCGGGUUGACGCCCGGGGUGGCUGUGGCGAACGUGCGCUCCCACUCGGAGAUCUUGGGCUGGCUCUGCACCUCCGGCCGCUCGCACGACGCCGUCAGCACGUGUUCCGAGCAGCUCGAGUCCGCGUGCGCCCGCGGCAUCGAGUCCGACGGCCUCACCUCGUAGUACGCCGCCAGGUCCGAGAACGGCUGCGGCGCGUAUGGCCGCAGCAGGGCCAGUUUCUGCUCCGGCGGCGAGCCGACGGCCGCGUGCCCGGGGCUCGCGCUCGCGGUCCGGUCACCGGCGCUCGGCCUCUCCGAGGCGCCUUUCUUGUUGUAGAUCCGGCAAAGCACCCAGUCAUCCAACUGCAACGACCACAAAAAGAUCGAUCGACGUACAUGAUCAGAACAGAAAUCAUACCUCUAAUAUUAACAUUCCAACAUGAAUCCAUCAUCAUAAACUGAUUAGUCACGAACGAAUUUUAAUCCAUAUGAUCGGAAGGUGCUAUUUGAUUGGAUAUUUU
Molecule: long non-coding RNA, 41403 nt
Filed under: Triticum aestivum (bread wheat)
Lineage: Eukaryota; Viridiplantae; Streptophyta; Magnoliopsida; Poales; Poaceae
Description: long non-coding RNA (TAES_LNC007408)
Source: RNAcentral